AUAUCGGGGGUGCACUGGCACAGAGGAAAGGCCAUGUGAAGCAAGAAGGCAGCCAUCUGCAAGCCAAGGAGAGAAAUUUCAGAAGGAACCAACCCUACCGACAUCUUGAUCUUGGACUUUAAGCUGCCAGACCUUUUAUACAUUUUCUACAGAAAAUGCACCCCAUCAUUGCUUAUAGCCCACCCACGUGGACUGCUCAUUCUGUGAAUCAUGUUUUACAGAAAUUGCCUUGAUGUUAGGAAUUAAAAAAACAAAACAAAACAAAAAACAUGGAGCCGUAUUCUCCAGAAGCUUACAUCUGAUUUAACGAGACAGCAAUAGGAAGCCAAAGGGUCCCUGCAGAGGAGGGUUGCAGCACGAUAACUCUACAGCUGGACAGAGACAGAUUGCAGGGGAGCAAGAAUGAAUGGCAGGCCAGCUGCCAGAAGCUUCUCACUCCGUGGAGACCUUGGAGUCGAGGAUGAAAUGUCUUACAACUGUGGGGAGACCUUGGCUUUUCCAAAGCCUACCAGGGUCCAGGACUUGGAAGCUAAGGCCCAGAGAGGAGGAGAAACUUGAUCAAAGUCAAUCAGACAAUGCAGAAUCGAGAAAAGUACCUGGACCUCUAUGCCCAUGCUUCUAGCAGCCAGCCUCCUAAAAUACCUCUAGUUGAAGCCAAAGUUAGAAUCCUUCUACGAAACUACAGGAUUAAAAUGGAAUGGUUACAUGACCCAGGCUUGACCAAUCAGAUCAUCCAAACCCUUUGCCACAGUGAUUGGUCCAGGGAUACAUGCAUGAGCCAGCUCAGGUGGCAUUGUAUUAUGCGCCAAGAGUGAACCAGAUAGAGGAAGUUGCUCCUUAAGCUUGCAGGUCUGAAAGAACAAGGAAUUGCCUCUCUUCAAAGGCCUAAGCCACACUCAUCUUGUGGAUGACACUGGAGCUGUGACAGUCUGUUCUGUCCAGGCAGGGUGUCUUUUAUUUUUAUUGGAAAUAAGAUUAUCACAGAAUUGCUGGCUGUUGAUACUCUUUCUCAUCAACUCCCCAAAUGGAAAUGCUUUCAACCACUGCAGAAGUAAAAAAUUACCCAAAGGCUGUAUGAUGCAAACUCUUUCUUUGGCUUUAUCUUACUGAUAAGAAUAAAAAUAACACCUCACGUAUGUAU
This 1141-nucleotide long non-coding RNA is filed under the name Homo sapiens (human). RNAcentral describes it as "PREDICTED lncRNA (TCONS_00265605)". Lineage: Eukaryota; Metazoa; Chordata; Mammalia; Primates; Hominidae. The record is from RNAcentral.